Molecule: transfer RNA, 74 nt
Filed under: Planctomycetaceae bacterium
Lineage: Bacteria; Pseudomonadati; Planctomycetota; Planctomycetia; Planctomycetales; Planctomycetaceae
Also listed under: 1 other name
Description: tRNA-Pro
Rfam family: tRNA
About the family: Transfer RNA (tRNA) molecules are approximately 80 nucleotides in length. Their secondary structure includes four short double-helical elements and three loops (D, anti-codon, and T loops). Further hydrogen bonds mediate the characteristic L-shaped molecular structure. tRNAs have two regions of fundamental functional importance: the anti-codon, which is responsible for specific mRNA codon recognition, and the 3' end, to which the tRNAs corresponding amino acid is attached (by aminoacyl-tRNA synthetases). tRNAs cope with the degeneracy of the genetic code in two manners: having more than one tRNA (with a specific anti-codon) for a particular amino acid; and 'wobble' base-pairing, i.e. permitting non-standard base-pairing at the 3rd anti-codon position.
Source: RNAcentral
CGGGACGUGGCGCAGGCUGGUAGCGCGCUUGACUGGGGGUCAAGAGGUCGCAGGUUCAAAUCCUGUCGUCCCGA